AGAGAUUAAACUGAAGAGUUUGAUCCUGGCUCAGAUUGAACGCUAGCGGGAUGCUUUACACAUGCAAGUCGAACGGCAGCAUGAGAGAGCUUGCUCUCUUGAUGGCGAGUGGCGGACGGGGGAGUAAUGUAUCGGAACGUGCCCGG
Molecule: ribosomal RNA, 146 nt
Filed under: Oligella sp. HMSC09E12
Lineage: Bacteria; Pseudomonadati; Pseudomonadota; Betaproteobacteria; Burkholderiales; Alcaligenaceae
Description: partial 16S ribosomal RNA
Rfam family: Bacterial small subunit ribosomal RNA
Source: RNAcentral